GCAGCACACAGAUCAGCAGGAGCAGCACAGCAGCCGAGCAACACAGCAGCAGGGGAGCAGCACAGCAGCAGGGCAGGGGCUCAGGGCAUUCAACUGCAGCAUGGCGGAUGGUGGUUGAUUGGUGGGAUGCUUUUUAGAGCAAAUUGCAGUUGAUUGGUGGGAUGCUUUUGGAGGACUUAAUAGAGAGCUUCAAAAUUUUGCAAGACGCAUCCUUGGCCUUUGUUACUCGGCUUCUGGUUGUGAGCGCAAUUGGAGUAUCUUCGAAUUUAUCCAUACCAAGAAAAGGAAUCAGUUAGAGCACCAAAGAUUGAAUGACUUGAUCUAUAUCCAAUACAACAUGAAGAUCGCGGAAAGGUUUCAGAAGAGUCGGGUGGAAGGGAUAAAUUACAACCCUUUGAUUUUAGAUGACCUUUGAUUUUAGAUGAGUUCCAAUGGGACGAUGAAUGGGUUGAAAUGAUGAGUAAUAACGAAGUCCAUCCCAGAGAUAAUCUCUUUUGGUCUCAUGUUGAUGAAGCCACCGGUGCAUCACAGUCACUUCAGGCCCCUAGGGUGACUAAGACUUAUUCUCGUCUUCGUCGAGGUGCUGGGUCAAUUCAUGAACAAGUAGAGGCUGUAGAGCAAAAUCGGGAGGAGAGGAAGAUGAUGAAGAAUUUACUGUUGUGGCCGAUGACCUUGACAUUAAGGAUGAUUAUGGCUGAGCACCGCCUAAUCCUGAUCAUGAUGGUGCUGAAGCUAAUGAGAAUGAGGGUGGCCUCAAUGACAUAGAUUUAGAUGUUGAUUAGGAGGAGUAUGACUAUAUGAGUGCAUGUGCAUCCAUAAAUGUUAUUUUAUUUCCUAUGAACUAUUAAGUAUCAACUAUGAACUCUAUAUGCAACAUGCAUAGCUAGCAUAUUGCUAACUGCUACUGCUUUAUUUUGAUAUAAAA
Long non-coding RNA from Panicum virgatum (switchgrass), 925 nucleotides. RefSeq lists it as uncharacterized. The record is from RefSeq and is a predicted model, not a curated record. The transcript is spliced from 2 exons. NCBI's taxonomy places the organism in Eukaryota, Viridiplantae, Streptophyta, Magnoliopsida, Poales, Poaceae.